AAGUCGUAACAAGGUUUCCGUAGGUGAACCUGCGAAGGAUCAUUAACACGUAUCCCAAACGUUAAACCCCCCUGUGAACCUUGUACUCGUACGUCCGUUAGAAAAAGCAGCAAUCCCUGGUAAAUCAUCGCCGAACAGUUUUGGAUUCAGGGACGUCUGCAAGGAGCGUGCGUGUUGUGCGAGCAAGUGGCCUGGCAUCCCCACUGAAUAAGGAUGACGCGGUCACGAUCGUUGGAGGCCCAACGGCGGACGACCGGGUCACUGGGCGCAAGCCCCUCUAGAACAACGCUGCUAAGCGCGGCCGCGAUAAUACUCAGUCGACCAAAACCGAACAACUGUUAACAAUGGAUAUCUUGGUUCUC
This 362-nucleotide unclassified non-coding RNA is filed under the name fungal sp. RNAcentral describes it as "partial internal transcribed spacer region". The stretch from base 1 to 45 matches the Rfam family "Eukaryotic small subunit ribosomal RNA", at positions 1786 to 1831 of the family's 1831-position model. Lineage: Eukaryota; Fungi. The record is from RNAcentral.